ACUGCUGAGCACCCGUGCCCAGCUGGCACUCUGGUAACGAGGAAGCGAGGAAGGAAAAACAACAAACCCCGGCUCAGCAAAGGAGGUGAAAACCACCGAAGUCAAAUCACAUUUCCCAGCGUGGUGGCACAGACAACACGGACUGUCUCCCAUCUGGAGGAAGCCUGGCAGCUGAGCAGACCGUGGUGACGCUUCCAAUGAACUCUCGGAGCCAAACGUGAGGUUGCUGAGCUGAGGGUUGUGCUUAAAUGUGGUUGGUGAGGUCCCAGCAGCCCAUGAUGUCUGUGGGCAGCAGAACAGCUCCAGCACCCCUGUCCCUUUCCAUGGCCCCCGGCGUGGCAGCGUAGUGCAGGGGAGAUGGACGGGCCGUGGUAGGAUGAGCCCUGCCCCGCUCCUGCUGCUCUCCCUGGCCAGCUGCUCCCUGCUCCAGGGUAAGCCAGUGCUGAAGCUGUCACCACAGUCUCGGGGGGCCCUGGCUGCAGGGCAGGAGGAGGCACAGGGACACCUCUCAGAACUACUGAAGUUACCUGUGAAGAGGAGAGGCUCAAGUGGUCGUCAAGGGAUGCUACUGAGGCCACAGCACGUGAGGCUGGAGGCACAGAACUUCCACGUCCAGCUGCACUGG
This is a long non-coding RNA of Lonchura striata (white-rumped munia), 625 nucleotides long. The record is from Ensembl. NCBI's taxonomy places the organism in Eukaryota, Metazoa, Chordata, Aves, Passeriformes, Estrildidae.